Non-coding RNA from Odocoileus virginianus texanus, 159 nucleotides. Lineage: Eukaryota; Metazoa; Chordata; Mammalia; Artiodactyla; Cervidae. The record is from RefSeq and is a predicted model, not a curated record.
UUUCAGCUCGGAGGUCGGGCCCUGUGAUGGAGCACGCUCUGCUCAAUGACGAGAGGGUUCUGAAGGAGAUCCAGAGCACGCUGGAGGGAGACCGAGGGAGCUGUGGCGAUUGGCGUUCUCAGCGCGUGGCCGUGGGGUACAGCCUCAGCAACGGGGGAG